GACUAUGAAGAUCCCAGGACGUGGGAAGGUUUCCCCCGCCCCCGAGUGCAGAUGUUGCUGCUAACGUUCAGCCCUGACGCCAUGUCCAAUAGGAACGGCCCUUCACUCUCAGAAACGCGGGCCGGAGAAACCGUGGAGGUCUUUUGCACCUUGCCGUUUGCCUCCCAGGUUCAACAUGAUAGGAUGUGGAUUAUCAGGGCCUGGGAACAGUGUAAAGGAACGCGCAGGUCCCCACCCUAAGCGCGUACGCGGGGCCUCGCUUUAGAAAAUAAAUGAAUUCUAC
This 283-nucleotide long non-coding RNA is filed under the name Homo sapiens (human). RNAcentral's name for it is "HSALNT0302141". The record is from RNAcentral. Lineage: Eukaryota; Metazoa; Chordata; Mammalia; Primates; Hominidae.